UAGGGAAUCUUCCGCAAUGGGCGAAAGCCUGACGGAGCAACGCCGCGUGAGUGAAGAAGGAUUUCGGUUCGUAAAGCUCUGUUGUUAGGGAAGAAUGAUUGUAUAGUAACUAUAUACAGUAGAGACGGUACCUAACCAGAAAGCCACGGCUAACUACGUGCCAGCAGCCGCGGUAAUACGUAGGUGGCAAGCGUUGUCCGGAAUUAUUGGGCGUAAAGCGCGCGCAGGUGGUUUAAUAAGUCUGAUGUGAAAGCCCACGGCUCAACCGUGGAGGGUCAUUGGAAACUGUUAAACUUGAGUGCAGGAGAGAAAAGUGGAAUUCCUAGUGUAGCGAUGAAAUGCGUAGAGAUUAGGAGGAACACCAGUGGCGAAGGCGGCUUUUUGGCCUGUAACUGACACUGAGGCGCGAAAGCGUGGGGAGCAAACAGGAUUAGAUACCCUGGUAGUCCACGCCGUAAACGAUGAGUGCUAAGUGUUGGUCUCAUAAGAGAUCAGUGCUGCAGCUAACGCAUUAAGCACUCCGCCUGGGGAGUACGACCGCAAGGUUG
RNAcentral lists this ribosomal RNA (548 nucleotides) under uncultured bacterium. RNAcentral describes it as "bacterial SSU rRNA". It matches the Rfam family "Bacterial small subunit ribosomal RNA", at positions 355 to 896 of the family's 1533-position model. The record is from RNAcentral.